UAAUCUUUGUGGCUUGUUGGUGUGCUAUUGGGACUUAACCCUAGUCGAGCCUACUUACCAUAUUGUGACUUACCUUAAGUUGGCCAUUGGACUACUAUAAAUUGGUAACUCCCUUUGUCAUGUUGAACCCGUGCUUGAGAGAACCCGAGAGAGAGAGAGGCAGUCUUCUUCUUCUUCUCCUUCAUGCAUCCUGUUAAUCUUCCCUACCAAUAGCUUGAGGCUUUGUGACUCUUACCUGUGUGGUAUUCAUCCUAAGUGUGUGGAAGAAACAACAAGCAAAAGAGGAAAAGCAACCAUAGGAAGUAAGCUCGCCGGCGAUCGUUCACCUCUCGGUUUUGGUGUUGAAUUCGAUGUUUAAUGGUCAACUGAGCCCGGAAAUCACCUUGAGCAGCUAGAGGAAGAUCCUAACAUCUGGUAUCAGAGCUUGGGUAGCAAAAAAGGGCUUAAAAUCGGCUGAUUUUCGGACAUUCAACAUAGAACCCGAAUCUGAAAUUAUUCAAUUACUCACAAACCAAAGCUCGGUUGGACAAACGGAGGCCAUACCCAUUACCAGCAGGUCGAGGCGCCCCUGGUGAGGCAGCGCGUGGGCGGACGGCGGCGGCGCGUGGGCGGUUGUCCGGCGAAGCUGUCUUCAGGUAACUUGCUUGUUUCGAUCUCCUGAACGCCCUAAUAUACUUUGUUUUGUGUUUUAGGUUACACAGAAAAAGUUGGACGAUUUUGCCCCUGGUGCGACGCCGACUGAAAUUGAACAGCAAGCUCGUUUUUUUCUCCACUCUACGGACUCAGAUAGGUCCGCUCUGGUAAAUUGGCUUAAUCCAUUUAAAUUCAACAAUAGCAAGAUCAUCGUGUGGAGUGAUCGUUAGGUUUUAGGGUUACCGUGAAGGGGUAACCAUUGCUUGUGCUAGAACUAAAAUUACUUGCGUUAAUUGAGUGCUUGUUCUUUUGAUUUAAAGUGCUUGGUAUUUCUUGGUGGAUGUAGCAUUUAGGUUCAUUGUUACUUUUGCUAAGAAUUAACAAGAUAUUACCUUAUCACACUUCCCAAUACUACUUCGUGUGGUUUAAUCAGAGUGUUAACCAAUGACAACACAUAAUUUUGAUUUGGGAAUAUUUAACGGUAAAAGGGGACUUCUCU
This 1132-nucleotide long non-coding RNA is filed under the name Olea europaea subsp. europaea. The record is from RNAcentral. Lineage: Eukaryota; Viridiplantae; Streptophyta; Magnoliopsida; Lamiales; Oleaceae.